GACGAACGCUGGCGGCGUGCCUAAUACAUGCAAGUCGAGCGCGGGAAGUCAGGGAAGCCUUCGGGUGGAACUGGUGGAACGAGCGGCGGAUGGGUGAGUAACACGUAGGUAACCUGCCCUAAAGCGGGGGAUACCAUCUGGAAACAGGUGCUAAUACCGCAUAACCCCAGCAGUCACAUGAGUGCUGGUUGAAAGACGGCUUCGGCUGUCACUUUAGGAUGGACCUGCGGCGUAUUAGCUAGUUGGUGGAGUAACGGUUCACCAAGGCGAUGAUACGUAGCCGACCUGAGAGGGUAAUCGGCCACAUUGGGACUGAGACACGGCCCAAACUCCUACGGGAGGCAGCAGUAGGGAAUCUUCCACAAUGGACGCAAGUCUGAUGGAGCAACGCCGCGUGGAUGAAGAAGGUCUUCGGAUCGUAAAAUCCUGUUGUUGAAGAAGAACGGUUGUGAGAGUAACUGCUCAUAACGUGACGGUAAUCAACCAGAAAGUCACGGCUAACUACGUGCCAGCCGCCGCAGUAACAC
RNAcentral lists this ribosomal RNA (527 nucleotides) under uncultured bacterium. RNAcentral's name for it is "bacterial SSU rRNA". It matches the Rfam family "Bacterial small subunit ribosomal RNA", at positions 28 to 526 of the family's 1533-position model. The record is from RNAcentral.